UGGGGAAUAUUGGGCAAUGGGCGCAAGCCUGACCCAGCAAUGCCGCGUGGGUGAAGAAGGUCUUCGGAUUGUAAAGCCCUUUCGGCGGGGACGAUGGUGACGGUACCCGCAGAAGAAGCCCCGGCUAACUUCGUGCCAGCAGCCGCGGUAAUACGAAGGGGGCUAGCGUUGCUCGGAAUCACUGGGCGUAAAGGGCGCGUAGGCGGCGGGCACAGUCAGGCGUGAAAUUCCCGGGCUCAACCCGGGGGCUGCGCUUGAUACGUGCCGGCUGGAGGGCGGAAGAGGCUCGCGGAAUUCCCAGUGUAGAGGUGAAAUUCGUAGAUAUUGGGAAGAACACCGGUGGCGAAGGCGGCGAGCUGGUCCGUACCUGACGCUGAGGCGCGACAGCGUGGGGAGCAAACAG
RNAcentral lists this ribosomal RNA (403 nucleotides) under uncultured bacterium. Its description in RNAcentral is "bacterial SSU rRNA". It matches the Rfam family "Bacterial small subunit ribosomal RNA", at positions 355 to 775 of the family's 1533-position model. The record is from RNAcentral.